RNAcentral lists this long non-coding RNA (629 nucleotides) under Physcomitrium patens. RNAcentral describes it as "long non-coding RNA (PPAT_LNC005362)". The record is from RNAcentral. Lineage: Eukaryota; Viridiplantae; Streptophyta; Bryopsida; Funariales; Funariaceae.
AAACUAGAUUUUGAUACCCGGAGAGGGCCAAUUAUGAAUGAGGAUCGAAAUCAGAUGCUGGGGCAUAAACCUGAGUCUCGACGACGACUCCGAGGUUCUUUUGGAGAUCGGAGACUGAGGUUUGAUAGCAGACUAAAUAGGCUUUAUAUGAGCAUUGGUUUUGGAGUGAUUUGGAGUUGAUAUGACUUUGUAAGAGCUUUGCAAAGUCGAGGUUUGUUUCGGAUGACUUGGAUUUUAAGAAAUAAAAUAGGGUUUAUAUUUUGGGUGAUUUCAAAAGUUUUGUAAUAGAUCUAUGGGUGAAAUUUUGUAGAUUUAUGGCUAUAGUUGUUUUUAAUAUGUGUAGUAAAAUUUAACUUGAUCUAACGGUUGAAUUAAGGAAUAUUGAGGUUUAAGUGGGUCAAGGUCUCAAAAAGUAGAAUUUUAGGUCCAGUGGGAGUUUUUGAGAUUUCUUGCAAUCUAUUGGUUGGAUUGGAGUGAAACUUGCAUAAGAAGAUAUUAAACUUGUUUUUCUAUAUGUAUAAGAAUUUUUAGAUCAAUCGAAAGGUGCGAAGGAGAGAUAUUGGCUCUGAAAGAUUGGCAUCUAGAUUGGAGAAGGAGGCCGGCUAAUACCCGAGCAAAUUUUUGAGGAU